AUUGAACGCUGGCGGCAGGCCUAACACAUGCAAGUCGAACGGUAACAGGAAGCAGCUUGCUGCUUUGCUGACGAGUGGCGGACGGGUGAGUAAUGUCUGGGAAACUGCCUGAUGGAGGGGGAUAACUACUGGAAACGGUAGCUAAUACCGCAUAACGUCGCAAGACCAAAGAGGGGGACCUUAGGGCCUCUUGCCAUCGGAUGUGCCCAGAUGGGAUUAGCUAGUAGGUGGGGUAACGGCUCACCUAGGGGACGAUCCCUAGCUGGUCUGAGAGGAUGACCAGCCACACUGGAACUGAGACACGGUCCAGACUCCUACGGGAGGCAGCAGUGGGGAAUAUUGCACAAUGGGCGCAAGCCUGAUGCAGCCAUGCCGCGUGUAUGAAGAAGGCCUUCGGGUUGUAAAGUACUUUCAGCGGGGAGGAAGGGAGUAAAGUUAAUACCUUUGCUCAUUGACGUUACCCGCAGAAGAAGCACCGGCUAACUCCGUG
RNAcentral lists this ribosomal RNA (490 nucleotides) under uncultured bacterium. RNAcentral's name for it is "partial 16S ribosomal RNA". It matches the Rfam family "Bacterial small subunit ribosomal RNA", at positions 30 to 507 of the family's 1533-position model. The record is from RNAcentral.